AACGCUGGCGGCGUGCCUAACACAUGCAAGUCGAACGAGAAAGUUGGCUUCGGCCGAUGAGUAAAGUGGCGCACGGGUGAGUUAACGCGUGGAUAAUCUGCCCUUAAGUUCGGAAUAACGUACCGAAAGGUGCGCUAAUACCGGAUAAGUACUGAGUGACUACUGUUGCUUAGUCAAAGAAGGCUUCUGUUUACAUGGCUUUUGCUAAAGGAUGAGUCCGCGUACCAUUAGCUAGUUGGUAGGGUAAUGGCCUACCAAGGCGACGAUGGUUAGCUGGUCUGAGAGGAUGAUCAGCCACACUGGAACUGAGACACGGUCCAGACUCCCUACGGGAGGCAGCAGUGAGGAAUAUUGCGCAAUGGGGGCAACCCUGACGCAGCAACGCCGCGUGAGUGAGGAAGGUUUUCGGACCGUAAAGCUCUGUCAGAUGGGAAGAAAUGGGUGGGGGCUAAUAUCGCCCAUCCUUGACGGUACCAUCAGAGGAAGCACCGGCUAACUCCGUG
RNAcentral lists this ribosomal RNA (503 nucleotides) under uncultured bacterium. RNAcentral describes it as "bacterial SSU rRNA". It matches the Rfam family "Bacterial small subunit ribosomal RNA", at positions 32 to 507 of the family's 1533-position model. The record is from RNAcentral.